UACGUAGGGGGCAAGCGUUGUCCGGAAUCAUUGGGCGUAAAGAGCGCGUAGGCGGCCCUGUAAGUCCGCUGUGAAAGUCAAGGGCUCAACCCUUGAAUGCCGGUGGAUACUGCAGGGCUAGAGUCCGGAAGAGGCGAGUGGAAUUCCUGGUGUAGCGGUGAAAUGCGCAGAUAUCGGGAGGAACACCAGUGGCGAAGGCGGUUGCCUGGAGCUUUGCUGACGCUGAUGCGCGAAAGCGUGGGGAGCGAUCCGG
Molecule: ribosomal RNA, 253 nt
Filed under: uncultured bacterium
Lineage: Bacteria
Description: partial 16S ribosomal RNA
Rfam family: Bacterial small subunit ribosomal RNA
Source: RNAcentral